This 517-nucleotide ribosomal RNA is filed under the name uncultured bacterium. RNAcentral's name for it is "bacterial SSU rRNA". It matches the Rfam family "Bacterial small subunit ribosomal RNA", at positions 59 to 535 of the family's 1533-position model. The record is from RNAcentral.
AAGUCGAACGAUGAAAGCUUCCUUCGGGAAGUGAGUAGAGUGGCGCACGGGUGAGUAACACGUGGAUAAUCUACCCGAUGAUCCGGGAUAACACUUCGAAAGGGGUGCUAAUACCGGGUAAGCCCACGGGCUCUUUGGAGCUUGCGGGAAAAGGUGGGGACCUUCGGGCCUACUGUCAUCGGAUGAGUCCGCGGCCCAUUAGCUAGUUGGUGGGGUAAUGGCCCACCAAGGCGACGAUGGGUAGCUGGUCUGAGAGGAUGAUCAGCCACACUGGAACUGAGACACGGUCCAGACUCCUACGGGAGGCAGCAGUGGGGAAUUUCUGCGCAAUGGGGGCAACCCUGACGCAGCAACGCCGCGUGAGUGAUGAAGGCUUUCGGGUCGUAAAGCUCUGUCCGAGGGGAAGAACCUCUCAAAGGAUCAUACCCUUCGAGACUGACGGUCCCUCCAAGGAAGCCCCCGGCUAACUCCGUGCCCCACCGCCCCGGGCAAUACCGGANGGGUGCCGAGCCGGUUG